CAUUAACACUAAUCCAUAUCACCUUAACCUAGCCUUCAGUGCAGUAUCAGUGCUAGCUUCGCAGCAGGCCUCUUACUGUUCUAUAAACCUAAACUAAAGAAGCUUAACUAAGCUCAACCACUAAAACCAAAUUCUCAACGAUGGAUAUCUUGGUUCCCAUAACGAUGAAGAACGCAGCGAAGUGCGAUAAGCAAUGCGAAUUGCAGAACCGUGAGUCAUCAGAUCUUUGAACGCAACUGGCGCUGGAUGGCUAUCCAUCCAGCAUGCUUGUUUCAGUGUCUUAUUCUCUCAUAACCUAAAUCUUAAUGCUAGAGAUACCCUUCUCUUGCUAAGUACGAAAGCACUCUGAGCCCUGCAGGUGAUUUGACUUCGGUCAAGGUCACACUCAAUGCAGCAGU
This 398-nucleotide unclassified non-coding RNA is filed under the name Hemicycliostyla franzi. RNAcentral describes it as "partial contains ITS1, 5.8S rRNA and ITS2". The stretch from base 130 to 281 matches the Rfam family "5.8S ribosomal RNA". The record is from RNAcentral. Lineage: Eukaryota; Ciliophora; Spirotrichea; Urostylida; Hemicycliostylidae.